RNAcentral lists this ribosomal RNA (458 nucleotides) under uncultured bacterium. RNAcentral describes it as "bacterial SSU rRNA". It matches the Rfam family "Bacterial small subunit ribosomal RNA", at positions 29 to 524 of the family's 1533-position model. The record is from RNAcentral.
AACGAACGCUGGCGGCAUGCCUAACACAUGCAAGUCGAACGGGAUCCUAGCUUGCUAGGUGAGAGUGGCGGACGGGUGAGUAACACGUGGGAAUCUGCCUUUUGGUUCGGGAUAACCGCGGGAAACUGCGGCUAAUACCGAAUGCCCUCGAGAGAGGAAAGAUUUAUCGCCAGAAGAGGAGCCCGCGUCCGAUUAGGUAGUUGGUGGGGUAAAGGCCUACCAAGCCGACGAUCGGUAGCUGGUCUGAGAGGAUGAUCAGCCACACUGGGACUGAGAUACGGCCCAGACUCCUACGGGAGGCAGCAGUGGGGAAUAUUGGACAAUGGGCGAAAGCCUGAUCCAGCAAUGCCGCGUGAGUGAUGAAGGCCUUAGGGUUGUAAAGCUCUUUUACCCGGGAAGAUAAUGACUGUACCGGGAGAAUAAGCCCCGGCUAACUCCGUGCCAGCAGCCGCGGUAAU